Long non-coding RNA from Priapulus caudatus, 594 nucleotides. RefSeq lists it as uncharacterized. The record is from RefSeq and is a predicted model, not a curated record. The transcript is spliced from 3 exons. NCBI's taxonomy places the organism in Eukaryota, Metazoa, Priapulida, Priapulimorpha, Priapulimorphida, Priapulidae.
GGCUACGCAUCGCUAGUGUCGUAUGUGUAGCCGCAGGAGUCAGCGGCCAAGCGCUAUACAUACAUAUAGAGUUCACAUGAAUAUUUCGAGUUCAUUAUAUAUAUACAUCUAGAUUCAUAUCGGAAUCUGUUAAUAGUGGUCUGAGCGUGCCAUCGAGAGAGCGAGAGAGGGUAGGAGGAUAGACAGCAGUGUGCCGGCGAACGUCUGUGGUCUCUAACCGAAUCGAAAUCGGUUUCGAAUCGGAUCCGAAACAGUGACUGGAAUUGGACCUGAAUCGAACCGCUAACAGUGAUUAAACCCAAACCCGGAUCGAACCGCUAACAGUGUUUGGAAUCGAAAUCGAAUCGUAACGAUAACAGUGCUUGGGAUCGGAACCGGACCAGCGCUAUAGAUUAACCAAAGUCGGAUCGCGAACGAUGAGCUUCGUCGGCGCCGCCAUGACAUCUUUCACGCUCUGCUGUCUGUUUGCGUUCGUCGGAGUGGUCACUGCGGCAAAAGGCGAAGGGAGUUAUACACUUCCGGCAGAGGGCGUAACGGGCGCCGAAUUAACACUGGAUGAACUCCUGCCUGUGCCUCCCACUGAAAUGCCACAGC